GAAACUUGGUUAGUGGCUCUCUUGGCAUGUUCGUAGCCCUGUGGUUGAAGUGGCUGAAACCUGCGUUGAGCCUCAGUCCAAGCAGCUGGGGCCACACCAGUUUGCAAAAGCGGAUGUGGCAGUUUCCACCGCAGCAGCAGCCUGCUGGCGCCUCAUCAGAUUCUCCUUUGGAGGAAGUAUCUUCUUCCCUUCAUUCUCGGUGAAUGGCAUCCAGAGAUAACCAAAAUCAGGUGUAUCUAGUUUCAAGUUCUGUCUUGCAACCGUGAUAAUUGGAGGAUGCAAACUUUACACUUUCUUCUCUAGCUGUCUACCACCACUGCUGCGCUUGUGGAUGACUGCAGGAACACCGGGUACUUGCCACAAGUAUCUCUCCAGAUUCAUCAGCCUUUCACCUGUGACAAGCUCAGUCAAGAAGUGGCUCCUAAGUAAAAGCUGGGGAAGAACAAGGAAGAUAGAGCUCAGAGUAGAAAGCUGUGAAGUUCUGCACAACAGGUCCCCUUGGCCUGCUCUAACAGUUGGAAGGUGGGGGAAGCAUUCAUUUACUCAACAAAUAUAUACUGAGUGCCUUUUGCAUGCUAGGCACGCUUCUAGGGGUUGAGGACACAGCAGAGAGCACAAACAACAAUUCCAGCCCUCGUGGAGCUUACCUCUUCCACGUGGGAAAGACAGAUGGUAAAUGUAUAAGGACAAUAUAUGGACUGCUGUAUGAUUAGAAAUGCUAUGGAGAGGCUAGGAGUGCUGUCUCAUGCCUGUAAUCCCGCAGUUUGGGAGGCCAAAGGAGGAGGAUCACUUGAGGCCAGAAGUUGGAGACCCAACCUGGGCAACAUAACAGGCAUGGUAGCUCAUGUGGAAGCUUCCCGAGGCCCUCACCCAGAAGCAGAUGCUG
This 886-nucleotide long non-coding RNA is filed under the name Homo sapiens (human). Its description in RNAcentral is "non-protein coding FAM160A1-DT:27". Lineage: Eukaryota; Metazoa; Chordata; Mammalia; Primates; Hominidae. The record is from RNAcentral.